UACGUAGGGAGCAAGCGUUGUCCGGAAUCAUUGGGCGUAAAGCGCGCGUAGGUGGCCACAUAAGUCCGUUGUGAAAGUCAAAGGCUCAACCUUUGAAAGCCGAUGGAUACUGUGUGGCUAGAGUACGGAAGAGGCGAGUGGAAUUCCUGGUGUAGCGGUGGAAUGCGCAGAUAUCAGGAGGAACACCAAUAGCGAAGGCAGCUCGCUGGGACGUUACUGACGCUGAGACGCGAAAGCGUGGGGAGCGAACAGG
This 253-nucleotide ribosomal RNA is filed under the name uncultured bacterium. RNAcentral describes it as "partial 16S ribosomal RNA". It matches the Rfam family "Bacterial small subunit ribosomal RNA", at positions 524 to 776 of the family's 1533-position model. The record is from RNAcentral.